UCCACCUACGGGGCGCAGCAGUGGGGGAUAUUGCACAAUGGGGGGAACCCUGAUGCAGCGACGCCGCGUGGGUGAAGGAGCGUUUCGGCGCGUAAAGCCCUAUCGGCAGGGAAGAAGAUGACGGUACCUGACCAAGAAGCCCCGGCUAACUACGUGCCAGCAGUCGCGGUAAUACGUAGGGGGCAAGCGUUAUCCGGAUUUACUGGGUGUAAAGGGAGCGUAGACGGCAGAGCAAGUCUGAAGUGAAAGCCCGCGGCCCAGCUGCGGGACUGCUUUGGAA
Molecule: ribosomal RNA, 280 nt
Filed under: uncultured bacterium
Lineage: Bacteria
Description: partial 16S ribosomal RNA
Rfam family: Bacterial small subunit ribosomal RNA
Source: RNAcentral